GUUUAGGUAGUUUAAUUUAGAACGCGGCGCUGAAGUUGCCGAAGUGACUUUUUGUUCCUGAACA
Molecule: transfer RNA, 64 nt
Filed under: Teredo bartschi
Lineage: Eukaryota; Metazoa; Mollusca; Bivalvia; Myida; Teredinidae
Description: tRNA-Phe
Source: RNAcentral